AGCAGGUACAAGGGAAAUCUAUGCGAUAUCAAAAAGGAGUUGAAUAUGAACAAAUUUGAUGAAAAGAAAGAGCUGCAGAACCUCAACAGUAGGCUUGCUAUAUACAUGAGUAAUGUUCGGCAACUGCAGUUGACGAACGAUACCUACAGCAAAGAGCUUGAGGAGCUAAAGGGCAGCCGUGAUCCCUUCAUGAAGCAGCUGUAUGAGGAGGAGACGACGACACUGCGCAUUCAGGUGGAGCAGCUUAACAAAGAAAAUGCCCAUUUUGAAUUUAACAACCAGGAGCUCUCGGGAAAGCUGCAAGAAUUUGAAGACAAACUCAGCAAACAGGAAGUGGAUAAGGUCUCACUGAUUUACAUGGAGAAAAAAGUGAAGUCUCUGGAGGAUCAGAUCAUCCACUUAAAGAAGGUUCACAAUGAGGAGAUAACUCAGCUUCGGGCUCAGAACCAGUAUGUUCAGACUGAUAUGAACAUGGUCAGGCCCCAACUGACAGCUGCGCUCGAAGAAGUCAGAGAGUACUACGAGAGGCGUGCUCAAAUGAACCUCCAGGAGAGCCCGUAUACAUUACAGGAAACCACACAUAGUGAAACCAAGCAGAAGUUGGAAGUCAUUACCUAUCACGAAAAGGUGCAGACUCUCACCAGUGAGAAAGUGUCAAUGCAACAUACGAUUGAGGAGAUGAAAAGCAAAUUAUCCUCCACAGAAGUUAGUUACCAGGAGAAGAUUAAAGUGCUGGAGGCCGACAACUCCAGAAUGGAAAAUGCGAUCAAAAGCAACCAGUGCAAGUACGAUGAACUGUUUCAUGCCAAAGUGGCACUGGACGCAGAGAUUCUCUGUUACAGACAGCUGCUGGAGGGUGAAGAAAGAAGAAUUGUCAGUCCAGGUAGGUAUUGUUUCUUUAUUCUCCUUGUUCUCCUUAGUCCUUAUUCUGUCUCUCAGAGAUCUUUGCAACCCUUACAGGGCAGCAGGGCUGCUGCUAAGCUUUUGGGGGCCCUAAGCAUAAAUGGUUCUUUUUACGUCAUUUUUUAUGUCGUUUUGAAUGGCCACUGCAUACCCGUGUUUGUUGGCAUGUUGCAAAAUCUACGGAAUCUGUGUCUGUUGUAGACCACACAACCAUAGGCGUACAGUAGGUUUGGUAAUUUUGCCCCUCCAAUUUGCUACGCAUCGACGCACAAUGGCAGCCAAAGUGUAGCGAUGUGUAGCCUUGCGGAUGCGUUGACUCUGUGAGAGUCCAUUGUGUAGCCUCCGCCUGUAUUGUUCCUCCUGGUUGUCAAUGUCAUACAUUUGAACCUAAACUAUUCAGAUCGCCACCACGUGGCCAUACCAUGCCAUUACACCAUUAAGCAAAACACAUGAACACCUCUGGAAUCCCGACGGUGAUACGGAUCACUCCCAAAAUUUCAUCGUUUCUUUCUUGGGUCAUCCAACCUUGUCUGAAAUUUCAUCAAAAUCCAUCCAUUACUUUUAGAGUUAUCUUGCUAACAGACAGACAGACAGACAAACAAACACUGAUGGAAAACAUAACCUCCUUGGCGGAGGUAAUGAUCAGACAAAUAGAAUAAGGCUAGUCUGGAUAUCAUCCUACUAAGAUUAAUCUUUUAAGAUUGAACAUUUGUUUGGGGAGUCUGUGCAAGAGGUGUGAUCAGUGGGCAUAGUUCAAAUGACUCCGUACGCUUGGAUUCUCCUUCAACCAAUCAGACCAAUGAUCCGGGUGCGCCUGGGGGAAUAUGAACAGGAAGCAGGAGAGACAGAUGUGCAGGUUUCCAGCCUCAGCUGCAGGGCAAAAUCCAAAAUGUAUUUGUCGAUAAGAAAGAUGUUUUUACCCUGAUUGGUUCUAUCCAAUUGAAUAACUGUUCCAAAACUGUUGGAAAAACGGUUCCAUCGCGUGCAAGCAGAGCCCCAUGAUAGUCUACAAUAGUAAUAAGCCUUUCAUUUUGAUGACUAUAGACUUUAGACUAUCAUGACAGGGCCCAAAGUCACUGUAUCUGUGUUGUGCGUCACGGUUCUGUAUUUUUCAAAUGUUUGAAUAUGUUUAUAAAUGUAUCUUGUCUUCUGUAAAUGUAUUUUUUGUCAUCUGACGGCUUGCUCUGAUUUCUGCUUUUCUAGUAAAGGAAACGAAAAAGGUGGAUAAAAGUGUGACUAGGACACCAACAGCAACGGCCAUCCCUGAGGGAAAAGUUAGAGAGUCCUCAAAUCCCAAUUCUGUUGGAACCCAACAAUCCCCACAGGGGACCAAGCCAACAGCACAGGAUGG
RNA transcript from Sardina pilchardus (European sardine), 2254 nucleotides. It is a transcript of the gene named vimentin-like, with no coding region annotated. Lineage: Eukaryota; Metazoa; Chordata; Actinopteri; Clupeiformes; Clupeidae. The record is from RefSeq and is a predicted model, not a curated record. The transcript has 8 exons.